RNAcentral lists this transfer RNA (92 nucleotides) under Thioalkalivibrio paradoxus ARh 1. Its description in RNAcentral is "Selenocysteine transfer RNA". It matches the Rfam family "Selenocysteine transfer RNA". Lineage: Bacteria; Pseudomonadati; Pseudomonadota; Gammaproteobacteria; Chromatiales; Ectothiorhodospiraceae. The record is from Rfam by way of RNAcentral. RNAcentral also lists the same sequence under 1 other name.
GGAAGGGCUUCGUGCCCGGUGGUGCGGCCGGUCUUCAAAACCGGUUGGGGCCGUCAGGCGGUCCCGGGUGGGUUCGACUCCCGCGCCCUUCC